UACGGGGGGAGUAAGCGUUGUUCGGAAUUACUGGGCGUAAAGGGCUCGUAGGCGGCCAACUAAGUCAGACGUGAAAUCCCUCAGCUUAACUGGGGAACUGCGUCUGAUACUGGAAGGCUUGAAUCCGGGAGAGGGAUGUGGAAUUCCAGGUGUAGCGGUGAAAUGCGUAGAUAUCUGGAGGAACACCGGUGGCGAAGGCGGCAUCCUGGACCGGUAUUGACGCUGAGGCGCGAAAGCUAGGGGAGCAAACGGG
Molecule: ribosomal RNA, 253 nt
Filed under: uncultured bacterium
Lineage: Bacteria
Description: partial 16S ribosomal RNA
Rfam family: Bacterial small subunit ribosomal RNA
Source: RNAcentral